RNAcentral lists this ribosomal RNA (253 nucleotides) under uncultured bacterium. RNAcentral's name for it is "partial 16S ribosomal RNA". It matches the Rfam family "Bacterial small subunit ribosomal RNA", at positions 524 to 776 of the family's 1533-position model. The record is from RNAcentral.
UACGAGGGGGGCAAGCGUUGUUCGGAAUUAUUGGGCGUAAAGGGCGCGUAGGCGGGCCGCCGCGUCCGGGGUGAAAUCCUCCCGCUCAACGGGAGAACGGCCUCGGAUACGGGCGGCCUGGAGGGGGGUAGGGGCGUGCGGAACUGUGGGUGGAGCGGUGAAAUGCGUUGAUAUCCACAGGAACUCCGGUGGCGAAGGCGGCACGCUGGACCCCACCUGACGCUGAGGCGCGAAAGCCAGGGGAGCGAACGGG